Molecule: unclassified non-coding RNA, 399 nt
Filed under: soil metagenome
Description: partial contains 5.8S ribosomal RNA, internal transcribed spacer 2, and large subunit ribosomal RNA
Rfam family: 5.8S ribosomal RNA (bases 1-121)
Source: RNAcentral
GAUGAAGAACGUAGCGAAAUGCGAUACUUGGUGUGAAUUGCAGAAUCCCGUGAACCAUCGAGUCUUUGAACGCAAGUUGCGCCUCAAGCCAUUAGGUUGAGGCACGUCUGCCUGGGCGUCACAUAUCGUUGCCUGAUGCCAGUUUCCUCGUGAUGGGUGACUGUGCAGGGCGAAUGAUGGCUUCCCGUGAGCAUUGUUGCCUCAUGGUUGGUUGAAAAUUGAGUCCUUGGUAGGGAGCGCCGUGAUAGAUGGUGGUUGAGUGACGAACGAGACCCAAUCAUGUGAGACCCCUACCGAAUUUGGCCUUCAUGACCCACAUGCGUCUUUGGAACGCUCAUGACGAGACCUCAGGUCAGGCGGGGCUACCCGCUGAGUUUAAGCAUAUCAAUAAGCGGAGGA